AAAUUUAAAUUGGAGGUCCUUAUAUGGUAAUUAUACCAUUGGUAACUUGGUAGACAAAAAUGGACAUGAGAUAAGUGAAAUAGAAAAUUUUUAAGUUAGGGGCAAUUUGGUAAUCUAGUAAUUAAAAUGAAUUAAAAGGGAAAAAGAUGGCAAAAAUCAUCAUCUUCUUCAUAUGAACGAAAUCAGCAAGGGGGGAAGCCAUAGUUAGGGUUUUCAAGCUUCCAAGCUCCAUAAUCAAGAAGUACGAAACUCGAGGUUAGACAAAGGGAAGAAUAAAGUUGAAGACUAAGUUGGUGAAUUUGGCUAUAAUUGGUACCGAGUAUUGCAAAGCUACUUCAAGGAUCCUAAAGAAGUCGGAGAUCGUCCACACUAUCAACCACAACUGCUCGGUAUUUUAUAUCGAAUCACGUUUGAGUUAUGGCAUGUAUAGGGAUUUAGUUAUUUUGUAUGUUUGUGAUUAUGAUUUUGCUAAAGAAUGGUGUGUAAGUAUUUGAUGAUGUAUGGUUAUUAAAAUGGUUAAGUA
Gossypium raimondii (Peruvian cotton) is the source of this 523-nucleotide long non-coding RNA. RefSeq lists it as uncharacterized. Lineage: Eukaryota; Viridiplantae; Streptophyta; Magnoliopsida; Malvales; Malvaceae. The record is from RefSeq and is a predicted model, not a curated record. The transcript is spliced from 3 exons.